This 1527-nucleotide ribosomal RNA is filed under the name metagenome. RNAcentral's name for it is "bacterial SSU rRNA". It matches the Rfam family "Bacterial small subunit ribosomal RNA". The record is from RNAcentral.
AGAGUUUGAUCCUGGCUCAGAACGAACGCUGGCGGCGUGGCUAAGGCAUGCAAGUCGAACGAGGUCUUUCCGGGUGGCAACACCUGAGCUGACUUAGUGGCGAACGGGUGAGUAAUGUAUGGGUAACGUACCUUGAGCUCAGGGAUAGCGGCGGGCUUCGGCCCUUUGCGAAAGUGCCGGUAAUACCUGAUGACACCUGCGGAUUACAUGGUCUGCAGGUCAAAGAUGGGGAUCUUCGGACCUGUCGGCUCGGGAGCGGCCCAUGUCCUAUCAGCUUGAUGGUGGGGUAACGGCCUACCAUGGCUUUGACGGGUAGCCGGCGUGAGAGCGCGACCGGCCACAUCGGGACUGAGACACUGCCCGGACACCUACGGGUGGCUGCAGCAACGAAUAUUCCGCAAUGGACGAAAGUCUGACGGAGCGACGCCGCGUGAAGGAUGAAGUCCUUCGGGAUGUAAACUUCAAUAGUUUGUUAGGAAGCAAUCCGGGUUAAUAACCCGGUGCGUUGACCAGCUUAUGAAAGGGGUGGCUAACUCCGUGCCAGCAGCCGCGGUAACACGGAGACCCCUAGCGUUGUUCGGAAUUACUGGGCUUAAAGAGCGUGUAGGCGGAGCGGUAAGUACCUUGUGAAAGCCCCCGGCUCAACCGGGGAAUGGCUCGGUAUGCUAUCGCUCUUGAGGCAGGCAGGGGUCGCUGGAACCUUAGGUGGAGCGGUGAAAUGCGUAGAUAUCUAAGGGAACGCCUGUGGCGAAAGCAGGCGACUGGGCCUGUUCUGACGCUGAGACGCGAAAGCGUAGGGAGCAAACGGGAUUAGAUACCCCGGUAGUCUACGCCGUAAACGAUGCGCACUAGGUUCGAGCGCUUCUGACAGUGUUCGUGCCGAACAAAAGCGAUAAGUGCGCCGCCUGGGGAGUACGGCCGCAAGGCUAAAACUCAAAGGAAUUGACGGGGGCUCACACAAGCGGUGGAGCAUCUGGAUUAAUUCGAAGCAACGCGAAGAACCUUACCUGGGUUUGACAUGCACGGAUGCUCUCUGUGAAAGCGGAGUAGGCUGCCUUCGGGUGAAACGUGCACAGGUGCUGCAUGGCUGUCGUCAGCUCGUGCUGUGAAGUGUCGGGUUAAGUCCCUUAACGAGCGAAACCCUUAUCGCUAGUUGCCAGCGGGAAAGCCGGGGACUCUAGCGAGACUGCCGGCGUUAAGCUGGAGGAAGGUGGGGACGACGUCAAGUCAUCAUGGCCUUUAUGUCCAGGGUGUCACACGUGCUACAAUGGGGCGUACAGAGCGACGCGAGACCGUGAGGUGGAGCAAAUCGCACAAACCGCCCCUCAGUUCGGAUUGGGGUCUGCAAUUCGACCCCAUGAAGCUGGAAUCGCUAGUAAUCGCGUAUCAGCCAUGACGCGGUGAAUAUGUUCCUGAGCCUUGUACACACCGCCCGUCAAGUCAUGGAAGCUGGGAGUUCCCGAAGUCGCCGCAUCUCGGCGGUGCCGACGGAAAGCCUGGUGACUGGGACUAAGUCGAAACAAGGUA